RNAcentral lists this unclassified non-coding RNA (313 nucleotides) under Stropharia rugosoannulata. Its description in RNAcentral is "partial internal transcribed spacer region". The stretch from base 1 to 46 matches the Rfam family "Eukaryotic small subunit ribosomal RNA", at positions 1786 to 1831 of the family's 1831-position model. The record is from RNAcentral. RNAcentral also lists the same sequence under 1 other name. Lineage: Eukaryota; Fungi; Basidiomycota; Agaricomycetes; Agaricales; Strophariaceae.
AAGUCGUAACAAGGUUUCCGUAGGUGAACCUGCGGAAGGAUCAUUAUUGAAUAAACCUGGCUUGGUUGUUGCUGGUCUUUUCGGAGACAUGUGCACGCCUUGUCAUCUUUAUAUUUCCACCUGUGCACCUUUUGUAGACUUGGAAGACAGUUUUCCGAGGCAACUCGGUCGUGAGGAAAUGCUUUAAAUGGCUUUCCUUGAUUGUCUUCAAGCCUAUGUUUCAUAUACACCAUAAGAAUGUAACAGAAUGUCAUUAUUAGACUUAUGUCUUAUAAACUAUAUACAACUUUCAGCAACGGAUCUCUUGGCUCUC